GUGUCAGCCGCCGCGGUAAUACGUAGGGUGCGAGCGUUAAUCGGAAUUACUGGGCGUAAAGCGUGCGCAGGUGGUUCGUCAAGUCUGAUGUGAAAGCCCCGGGCUCAACCUGGGAAUGGCAUUGGAAACUAGCGGGCUUGAGUGUGGCAGAGGGGGGUGGAAUUCCACGUGUAGCAGUGAAAUGCGUAGAGAUGUGGAGGAACACCGAUGGCGAAGGCAGCCCCCUGGGCUAACACUGACGCUCAUGCACGAAAGCGUGGGGAGCAAACAGGAUUAGAAACCCUGGUAGUCC
Molecule: ribosomal RNA, 292 nt
Filed under: uncultured bacterium
Lineage: Bacteria
Description: partial 16S ribosomal RNA
Rfam family: Bacterial small subunit ribosomal RNA
Source: RNAcentral